Molecule: ribosomal RNA, 497 nt
Filed under: uncultured bacterium
Lineage: Bacteria
Description: partial 16S ribosomal RNA
Rfam family: Bacterial small subunit ribosomal RNA
Source: RNAcentral
GAUGAACGCUGGCGGCGUGCCUAAUACAUGCAAGUCGAGCGAACAGACGAGGAGCUUGCUCCUCUGAUGUUAGCGGCGGACGGGUGAGUAACACGUGUAUAACCUACCUAUAAUACUGGUAUAACUUCGGGAAACCGGAUCUAAUACCGUAUAACAUGUUGAACCGCAUGGUUCAACAGUGAAAUACGGUCUUGCUGUCUCUUAUAGAUGGAUCCCGGCCGCAUUAGCUAGUUGUUAAGGUACCGGCUUACCAAGGCAACGAUGCGUAGCCGACGUGAGGGGGGGAUCGGCGACACUGGAAGUGAGACACGGUCCAGACGCCUACGGGAGGCAGCAGUAGGGAAUCUUACGCAAUGGGCGAAAGCAUGACGGAGCAAGGCCGAGUGAGUGAAGAAGGUCUUCGGAUCGUAAAACUCUGUUAUUAGGGAAGAACAAAUGUGUAAGUAACUAUGCACGUAUUGACGGUACCUAAUCAGAAAGCCACGGCUAACUACGUG